RNAcentral lists this ribosomal RNA (418 nucleotides) under Galapaganus ashlocki. RNAcentral describes it as "partial 12S ribosomal RNA". The record is from RNAcentral. Lineage: Eukaryota; Metazoa; Arthropoda; Insecta; Coleoptera; Curculionidae.
GGGGGAAUAUACACAUCCCCCGUCCCUCUUAAACUAGGAUUAGAUACCCUAUUAUUUUGAACUAGAUUAAUAUUACCAGGUUAGUAGUAGUUAUGUGCUUGAAAAUUAAAGAAGAUGGCGGUAUUUUAGUCUAUUCAGAGGAACCUGUCCUAUAAUCGAUGAUCCACGAUUUAUUAUACUUAUUUUAUAAGUUUGCAUAUCGCCGUAGAUGGAAUGUCCUUAAAGGGUUUAUAAACAUUCAAGAGGUUUUUAUUUGUGAAAUUAAAUCAGGUCAAGAUGUAGCUAAUAAAUAAGAAGAGAUGGGUUACAAUAAAUUUAUUUAUAACGGAUUAAUAUAUGAAAUUUAUUAUAAAGGUGGAUUUGAAGGUAAUUUUAUAUAAAUUUAUAAAAUGAUUUUAGCUCUAAAAUAUGUACACAU